AUUGAACGCUGGCGGCAGGCCUAAAACAUGCAAGUCGAGCGAGCGGCGGACGGGUGAGUAAUGUUUGGGAAACCGCCUGAUGGAGGGGGAUAACUACUGGAAACGGUAGCUAAUCCCGCAUACCAUCAGAUGUGCCCAGAUGGGAUUAGAUAGUAGGUGGGAUAACGGCUCACUUAGGCGACGCUCCCUAGCUGGUCUGAGAGGAGGACCAGCCACACUAGACCUGAGACACGUGCCAGACUCCUAAGGGAGGCAGCAGUGGGGAAUAUUGCACAAUGGGCUCAAGCCUGAUGCAGCCAUGCCGCGUGUGUGAAGAAGGCCUUCGGGUUGUAAAGCACUGUCAGCGGGGAGGCGUUAGCCGCAGAAGAAGCACCGGCUAACUCCGUGCCAGCAGCCGCGGUAAUUC
Molecule: ribosomal RNA, 406 nt
Filed under: uncultured bacterium
Lineage: Bacteria
Description: partial 16S ribosomal RNA
Rfam family: Bacterial small subunit ribosomal RNA
Source: RNAcentral